UUUAUGGAGAGUUUGAUCCUGGCUCAGGAUGAACGCUGGCGGCGUGCCUAAUACAUGCAAGUUGAGCGAACAGACGAGGAGCUUGCUCCUUUGACGUUAGCGGCGGACGGGUGAGUAACACGUGGGUAACCUACCUAUAAGACUGGGAUAACUUCGGGAAACCGGAGCUAAUACCGGAUAAUAUUUCGAACCGCAUGGUUCGAUAAUGAAAGAUGGCUUUGCUAUCACUUAUAGAUGGACCUGCGCCGUAUUAGCUAGUUGGUAAGGUAACGGCUUACCAAGGCAACGAUACGUAGCCGACCUGAGAGGGUGAUCGGCCACACUGGAACUGAGACACGGUCCAGACUCCUACGGGAGGCAGCAGUAGGGAAUCUUCCGCAAUGGGCGAAAGCCUGACGGAGCAACGCCGCGUGAGUGAUGAAGGUCUUCGGAUCGUAAAACUCUGUUAUUAGGGAAGAACAAACGUGUAAGUAACUGUGCACGUCUUGACGGUACCUAAUCAGAAAGCCACGGCUAACUACGUGCCAGCAGCCGCGGUAAUACGUAGGUGGCAAGCGUUAUCCGGAAUUAUUGGGCGUAAAGCGCGCGUAGGCGGUUUUUUAAGUCUGAUGUGAAAGCCCACGGCUCAACCGUGGAGGGUCAUUGGAAACUGGAAAACUUGAGUGCAGAAGAGGAAAGUGGAAUUCCAUGUGUAGCGGUGAAAUGCGCAGAGAUAUGGAGGAACACCAGUGGCGAAGGCGACUUUCUGGUCUGUAACUGACGCUGAUGUGCGAAAGCGUGGGGAUCAAACAGGAUUAGAUACCCUGGUAGUCCACGCCGUAAACGAUGAGUGCUAAGUGUUAGGGGGUUUCCGCCCCUUAGUGCUGCAGCUAACGCAUUAAGCACUCCGCCUGGGGAGUACGACCGCAAGGUUGAAACUCAAAGGAAUUGACGGGGACCCGCACAAGCGGUGGAGCAUGUGGUUUAAUUCGAAGCAACGCGAAGAACCUUACCAAAUCUUGACAUCCUUUGACCCUUCUAGAGAUAGAAGUUUCCCCUUCGGGGGACAAAGUGACAGGUGGUGCAUGGUUGUCGUCAGCUCGUGUCGUGAGAUGUUGGGUUAAGUCCCGCAACGAGCGCAACCCUUAAGCUUAGUUGCCAUCAUUAAGUUGGGCACUCUAAGUUGACUGCCGGUGACAAACCGGAGGAAGGUGGGGAUGACGUCAAAUCAUCAUGCCCCUUAUGAUUUGGGCUACACACGUGCUACAAUGGACAAUACAAAGGGCAGCGAAACCGCGAGGUCAAGCAAAUCCCAUAAAGUUGUUCUCAGUUCGGAUUGUAGUCUGCAACUCGACUACAUGAAGCUGGAAUCGCUAGUAAUCGUAGAUCAGCAUGCUACGGUGAAUACGUUCCCGGGUCUUGUACACACCGCCCGUCACACCACGAGAGUUUGUAACACCCGAAGCCGGUGGAGUAACCAUUUGGAGCUAGCCGUCGAAGGUGGGACAAAUGAUUGGGGUGAAGUCGUAACAAGGUAGCCGUAUCGGAAGGUGCGGCUGGAUCACCUCCUUUCU
Molecule: ribosomal RNA, 1553 nt
Filed under: Staphylococcus hominis
Lineage: Bacteria; Bacillati; Bacillota; Bacilli; Caryophanales; Staphylococcaceae
Description: bacterial SSU rRNA
Rfam family: Bacterial small subunit ribosomal RNA
Source: RNAcentral